Molecule: RNA transcript, 1574 nt
Organism: Capra hircus (goat)
Lineage: Eukaryota; Metazoa; Chordata; Mammalia; Artiodactyla; Bovidae
Gene name: ubiquitin carboxyl-terminal hydrolase isozyme L5 pseudogene
Exons: 1
Source: RefSeq, a predicted model, not a curated record
ACGUGAGGUGGACGAGCCCGCGGCGGGUUUGCCGAGCUCUGUGGCCGGCGCUGGCAGGAGCGAGGGCCGGGGCGCCCAGAGCUGGAGGUGGAGCAGGGCGGCGCGCAGCCAGGGCCAUGACGGGCAAUGCCGGGGAGUGGUGCCUCGUGGAGAGCGACCCCGGGGUCUUCACCAAACUCAUUAAAGGAUUUGGUUGCCAAGGCGCCCAAGUAGAAGAAAUAUGGAGUUUAGAGCCUGAGAAUUUUGAAAAAUUAAAGCCAGUUCAUGGGUUGAUUUUUCUUUUCAAGUGGCAACCAGGAGAAGAACCAGUAGGCUCUGUGGUUCAGGACUCCAGACUGGACACAAUCUUUUUUGCCAAGCAGGUAAUUAAUAAUGCUUGUGCUACUCAAGCCAUAGUAAGUGUGUUAUUGAACUGUACUCAUCAAGAUGUCCAUUUAGGAGAGACAUUAUCAGAGUUUAAAGAAUUUUCACAAAGUUUUGAUGCAGCUAUGAAAGGUUUGGCGCUGAGUAAUUCAGAUGUCAUCCGACAAGUGCACAACAGUUUUGCCAGACAGCAAAUGUUUGAGUUUGACGCUAAGACAGCAGCAAAAGAAGAAGAUGCUUUUCACUUUGUCAGUUAUGUUCCUGUUAAUGGGAGGCUGUAUGAACUAGAUGGGUUAAGAGAAGGACCGAUUGACUUAGGUGCAUGCAAUCAAGAUGACUGGAUCAGUGCAGUGAGGCCAGUCAUAGGAAAAAGGAUACAAAAGUACAGUGAAGGUGAAAUUCGAUUUAACUUAAUGGCUAUUGUGUCUGACAGAAAAAUGAUAUAUGAACAGAAGAUAGCAGAGUUACAAAGACAACUUGCUGAGGAACCCAUGGAUACAGAUCAGGGCAGUAAUAUGUUAAGUGCUAUUCAGUCAGAGGUUGCCAAAAAUCAGAUGCUUAUUGAAGAGGAAGUACAGAAAUUAAAAAGAUACAAGAUUGAAAAUAUCAGAAGGAAGCACAAUUAUCUGCCAUUCAUUAUGGAAUUGUUAAAGACUUUAGCAGAACACCAGCAGUUAAUACCACUAGUAGAAAAGGCAAAAGAAAAGCAGAAUGCAAAGAAAGCACAGGAAACCAAAUGAAGAAGAUGCUUUGGGAUGUGCAUACAUUUCUGCUUCUGCGCUUAUCUUCAUGGAAACCAUUAAGUAUAAAGAACCUUGAGCAACUUUCUCACUGACUCAGUGCACGUUUGGCAGUAGUACCAGUCUGUCUUGUCUUUAAUGCAUGGAUUCAUAAACUCUCCCUACCUGCAUCAUAUGCAUGUGGUACAUACUCAAUAAAAGCGGUGUUCAGAGAGCUUGCCCAAAUUCCAUUAUUUGACAUUGGAUCUGAGCACUCCUGUUGGUUCUUUGGGUAGAUAACUGCCAUAAUGAACCUAGAAAAUGGACAAAUGCUAUUCUCUACCUGUAAUUGUUAUAAUUAAUCUUUCAUUCAAUCUUCCAGCUCAGUUAAAUACUUAAAAUUUAUAAAUGUCAGAUCUUGAUUAAACUGAGUCUCUUUUCUUCUCAUCAUUAAUGAAAAAAAAUCAAUAUUUCUAUCUUAUAGUAUCUUAA